GACAGAGGAUGCAAGCGUUAUCCGGAAUGAUUGGGCGUAAAGCGUCUGUAGGUGGCUUUUCAAGUCCGCCAUCAAAUCCCAGGGCUCAACCCUGGAUAGGCGGUGGAAACUACCAAGCUGGAGUACGGUAGGGGCAGAGGGAAUUUCCGGUGGAGCGGUGAAAUGCAUUGAGAUCGGAAAGAACACCAAUGGCGAAAGGACUCUGCUGGGCCGACACUGACAGUGAGAGACGAAAGCUAGGGGAGCAAAUGGG
Molecule: ribosomal RNA, 253 nt
Filed under: uncultured bacterium
Lineage: Bacteria
Description: partial 16S ribosomal RNA
Rfam family: Bacterial small subunit ribosomal RNA
Source: RNAcentral